UAUUGUUAACUUCUUAGUCCUUUGAAGAAAAAUCAAAUUUUUUCUUAAGAAGAGACUUUUGAAACUCACAAUAUGAAUUCAAGAAGCAAAAAAGAAAAUCGAAUUUCACAAAUGGGAUACCAAUAGCUUGGAAAAAUCCAUUGCUUUUGCAGGGUUUGUUAUUGAGGGAACCCUGCCUUUCCCAGCAUCCUUAACAUUUCUUCCUCAAAUAAAAGGGCACAUUGAUUUGAAUAGUUAAAGAUUUGUCUCAUUUCCUUGCCAAGGAGGAUUAUGUUUCCAGCUUUUUGUUAAUUCUGGGCAUUUCAACCACUGCUUCUGAUAACAUCCUGCUUUACUGUGCUAGGCAUUCCUUGGACCCAGGACUGGGAGUGGGGUUUAAUCUGGACUGAAUUGGAGGAAAGGAACUGGCACCAGAGUGGAGGCUGGAAGGAUGGUGGAACUGACACUGGGACAGAACACAGAAAACAGAAUCUAAUGCUA
This 480-nucleotide long non-coding RNA is filed under the name Homo sapiens (human). Its description in RNAcentral is "non-protein coding DLEU1:44". Lineage: Eukaryota; Metazoa; Chordata; Mammalia; Primates; Hominidae. The record is from RNAcentral.